Molecule: ribosomal RNA, 465 nt
Filed under: uncultured bacterium
Lineage: Bacteria
Description: bacterial SSU rRNA
Rfam family: Bacterial small subunit ribosomal RNA
Source: RNAcentral
UGCCAGACUCCUACGGGAGGCAGCAGUGAGGAAUAUUGGUCAAUGGUCGGGAGACUGAACCAGCCAAGCCGCGUGAGGGAGGAAGGUACAGAGUAUCGUAAACCUCUUUUGUCAGGGAACAAAGGCGGGGACGUGUCCCCGGAUGAGUGUACCUGAAGAAAAAGCAUCGGCUAACUCCGUGCCAGCAGCCGCGGUAAUACGGAGGAUGCGAGCGUUAUCCGGAUUUAUUGGGUUUAAAGGGUGCGUAGGCGGAGUGUUAAGUCAGCGGUAAAGGCCGGGGGCUCACCCCCGGCGAGCCGUUGAAACUGGCUGUCUUGAGAUGUCGAGAGGUAUGCGGAAUGCGCAGUGUAGCGGUGAAAUGCUUAGAUAUUGCGCAGAACUCCGAUUGCGAAGGCAGCAUGCCGGCUCCACACUGACGCUGAGGCACGAAAGCGUGGGUAUCGAACAGGAUUAGAUACCCUAGUA